UACGGAGGGUGCAAGCGUUAUCCGGAUUCACUGGGUUUAAAGGGUGCGUAGGUGGGUCUGUAAGUCCGUGGUGAAAUCUCCGAGCUUAACUUGGAAACUGCCAUGGAUACUAUAGGUCUUGAAUACUGUGGAGGUCAGCGGAAUAUGUCAUGUAGCGGUGAAAUGCUUAGAUAUGACAUAGAACACCAAUUGCGAAGGCAGCUGGCUACACAAAUAUUGACACUGAUGCACGAAAGCGUGGGGAUCAAACAGG
RNAcentral lists this ribosomal RNA (253 nucleotides) under uncultured bacterium. RNAcentral describes it as "partial 16S ribosomal RNA". It matches the Rfam family "Bacterial small subunit ribosomal RNA", at positions 524 to 776 of the family's 1533-position model. The record is from RNAcentral.